AUAUAUCAAAUUUAAUCUAAAUUAAAUUAUAAAUCUAAAUACAUAUAAUAUUAUAUCAUAUCGAACCGUGGCUCUGAUAUUAUUGUUGGGAUACGUAGGGGUUUCAUGCAUGCAUUUCAAAAAUUUUUUAAUGAAAGAAUAUUAGAUUAAACUAUUUAAUCUAUUAAUAUAUGUAUAAUAUCUGAUCUUAAAACUUUUACAAAUGGAUUAAUGAUAUGAAUUUAUAUGCAUAAAAAUUUGAAUCUAAAAUGACAAGCAUGUGAACCAAAAAUGAUAUUUAGUAAUAGAUCUAAUCUACCACUUCUAGGGUUUCGAACCCAAU
Molecule: long non-coding RNA, 322 nt
Filed under: Elaeis guineensis (African oil palm)
Lineage: Eukaryota; Viridiplantae; Streptophyta; Magnoliopsida; Arecales; Arecaceae
Description: long non-coding RNA (EGUI_LNC032507)
Source: RNAcentral